AUUGACCGCUGGCGGCAUGCCUUACACAUGCAAGUCGAACGGCAGCACGGGAGCAAUCCUGGUGGCGAGUGGCGAACGGGUGAGUAAAGUAUCGGAACGUGCCCAGUCGUGGGGGAUAACGUAGCGAAAGUUACGCUAAUACCGCAUACGAUCUAUGGAUGAAAGCGGGGGAUCGCAAGACCUCGCGCGAUUGGAGCGGCCGAUAUCAGAUUAGGUAGUUGGUGGGGUAAAGGCUCACCAAGCCGACGAUCUGUAGCUGGUCUGAGAGGACGACCAGCCACACUGGGACUGAGACACGGCCCAGACUCCUACGGGAGGCAGCAGUGGGGAAUUUUGGACAAUGGGCGAAAGCCUGAUCCAGCCAUGCCGCGUGCAGGAUGAAGGCCUUCGGGUUGUAAACUGCUUUUGUACGGAACGAAAAGGUUUGGGCUAAUAAGCUGAGCUCAUGACGGUUCCGUAAGAAUAAGCACCGGCUAACUACGUGCCAGCCGCCGCAGUAA
This 500-nucleotide ribosomal RNA is filed under the name uncultured bacterium. Its description in RNAcentral is "partial 16S ribosomal RNA". It matches the Rfam family "Bacterial small subunit ribosomal RNA", at positions 30 to 523 of the family's 1533-position model. The record is from RNAcentral.